AAUGAACGUUGGCGGCGUGGAUUAGGCAUGCCAGUCGAGCGAGAACCCCGCAAGGGGGGACAGCGGCGAAAGGGACAGUAAUGUGUAGAUUAUCUGCCCUCAGGUCCGGGAUAGCUGCGGGAAACUGCAGGUAAUACCGGAUAACAUCUCCGGAUCAAAGGUGUGAUUCCGCCUGAGGAUGAGUCUGCAUCCUAUUAGCUAGUUGGUGGGGUAAUGGCCUACCAAGGCAUUGAUGGGUAGCAGGUGUGAGAGCACGACCUGCGUCAUUGGGACUGAGACACUGCCCAGACACCUACGGGUGGCGGCAGUCGAGAAUCUUCGGCAAUGGGCGCAAGCCUGACCGAGCGACGCCGCGUGUGGGAUGAAGGCCUUCGGGUUGUAAACCACUGUCAGAGGGGAUGAAAUGCAGGUGGGUUCUCCCAUCUGUGUGACAUAGCCUCAGAGGAAGGACGGGCUAAGUUCGU
RNAcentral lists this ribosomal RNA (464 nucleotides) under uncultured bacterium. RNAcentral's name for it is "partial 16S ribosomal RNA". It matches the Rfam family "Bacterial small subunit ribosomal RNA", at positions 29 to 506 of the family's 1533-position model. The record is from RNAcentral.